UUCUACUCCUACGGGAGGCAGCAGUAGGGAAUCUUCCACAAUGGACGAAAGUCUGAUGGAGCAACGCCGCGUGUGUGAUGAAGGCUUUCGGCUCGUAAAACACUGUUGUCAGAGAAGAAUGACAUUGAGAGUAACUGUUCGGUGUGUGACGGUAUCUUACCAGAAAGGAACGGCUAACUACGUGCCAGCAGCCGCGGUAAUAA
This 203-nucleotide ribosomal RNA is filed under the name uncultured bacterium. RNAcentral describes it as "partial 16S ribosomal RNA". It matches the Rfam family "Bacterial small subunit ribosomal RNA", at positions 331 to 526 of the family's 1533-position model. The record is from RNAcentral.